This 465-nucleotide ribosomal RNA is filed under the name Vreelandella stevensii. RNAcentral describes it as "partial 16S ribosomal RNA". It matches the Rfam family "Bacterial small subunit ribosomal RNA", at positions 338 to 795 of the family's 1533-position model. The record is from RNAcentral. Lineage: Bacteria; Pseudomonadati; Pseudomonadota; Gammaproteobacteria; Oceanospirillales; Halomonadaceae.
CCUACGGGUGGCUGCAGUGGGGAAUAUUGGACAAUGGGGGCAACCCUGAUCCAGCCAUGCCGCGUGUGUGAAGAAGGCCCUCGGGUUGUAAAGCACUUUCAGUGAGGAAGAACGCCUGGUGGUUAAUACCCAUCAGGAAAGACAUCACUCACAGAAGAAGCACCGGCUAACUCCGUGCCAGCAGCCGCGGUAAUACGGAGGGUGCGAGCGUUAAUCGGAAUUACUGGGCGUAAAGCGCGCGUCGGUGGCUUGAUAAGCCGGUUGUGAAAGCCCCGGGCUCAACCUGGGAACGGCAUCCGGAACUGUCAAGCUAGAGUGCAGGAGAGGAAGGUAGAAUUCCCGGUGUAGCGGUGAAAUGCGUAGAGAUCGGGAGGAAUACCAGUGGCGAAGGCGGCCUUCUGGACUGACACUGACACUGAGGUGCGAAAGCGUGGGUAGCAAACAGGAUUAGAUACCCGAGUAGUC